CCUGAGAAACGGCUACCACAUCCAAGGAAGGCAGCAGGCGCGCAAAUUACCCACUCCCGGCACGGGGAGGUAGUGACGAAAAAUAACGAUACGGGACUCAUCCGAGGCCCCGUAAUCGGAAUGAGUACACUUUAAAUCCUUUAACGAGGAUCCAUUGGAGGGCAAGUCUGGUGCCAGCAGCCGCGGUAAUUCCAGCUCCAAUAGCGUAUAUUAAAGUUGUUGCGGUUAAAAAGCUCGUAGUCGAAUUUGUGUUCCACACUGUUGGUUCACCGCUCGCGGUGUUUAACUGGCAUGUUAUGUGGAACGUCCUACCGGUGGAUGGUGUUUGAAAUUAUUGUUCUUCACCGCACGUAUGUGGCUCAGGCAAUUAUGUGUUACUACAUAUUCGCUGCCAGCUUAAUUUUAUUAUUGGGUUCGAUGUUGUUAUUGUGUAUUAUGGCCUCUCAUAUACAUAUUAUGUGUUAUUAAACUCUGUUUCUUAAUUGCAUAUUUAUGCUAUAUGGGCCAUAUUUAUUAUGAUAACACGCGGACCUCCAAUAAUAAGUAAACCGGUUGAGUUGGAUUUUGUGAUUAUUGUGUGUGCACAUUAAAUUGUUCUGUUGUUCAUGUGCGAUUUGUGUGUGUUGAACGUUGAUAAUUUUACCGUAAGUGUUUAGCCGUUAAGAGCGGCGGCAGGCAUCCUAUUGCAAUCCCGUCGCGGUGCUCUUAAUUGAGUGUCGAGGUGGCCCGGUACGUUUACUUUGAACAAAUUAGAGUGCUUAAGGCAGGCUAAAAUUUUGCCUGAAUAUUGUGUGCAUGGAAUAAUGGAAUAGGACCUCGGUUCUAUUUUGUUGGUUUUCGGAACUCCGAGGUAAUGAUUAAUACGGACAGAUGGGGGCAUUCGUAUUGCGACGUUAGAGGUGAAAUUCUUGGACCGUCGCAAGACGGACAGAAGCGAAAGCAUUUGCCAAAAAUGUUUUGAUUGAUCAAGAACGAAAGUUAGAGGUUCGAAGGCGAUCAGAUACCGCCCUAGUUCUAACCAUAAACGAUGCCAGCUAGCGAUCCGCCGAAGUUCCUCCGAUGACUCGGCGGGCAGCUUCCGGGAAACCAAAGCUUUUGGGUUCCGGGGGAAGUAUGGUUGCAAAGCUGAAACUUAAAGGAAUUGACGGAAGGGCACCACCAGGAGUGGAGCCUGCGGCUUAAUUUGACUCAACACGGGAAACCUCACCAGGCCCGGACACCGGAAGGAUUGACAGAUUGAGAGCUCUUUCUUGAUUCGGUGGGUGGUGGUGCAUGGCCGUUCUUAGUUGGUGGAGCGAUUUGUCUGUUUAAUUCCGAUAACGAACGAGACUC
Molecule: ribosomal RNA, 1332 nt
Filed under: Mantispa pulchella
Lineage: Eukaryota; Metazoa; Arthropoda; Insecta; Neuroptera; Mantispidae
Description: SSU rRNA
Rfam family: Eukaryotic small subunit ribosomal RNA
Source: RNAcentral